AUGAAGAACAACAAAGACAAAAGGGCAAAAUAUAUCAAUGUGCCUAUUGCCAACUUUGAUGAGAUGGAGUUCAUAUUUCAGAAUAAGCAUGCUACCGGGGAGUUCACGGUCCUUCAAACACCCUAUGACCGUGUUCAUGCUCGUGACAAGGAUUUUAUUGGUGACACCGAGAAGCGUGUGAUUGAUAUUGAGAUUGAUCCUGCAACACAAUAUGAUUCAGAUUGUCUUCCUGAUGACACCAAUAAUGAAAGCUCGUCUUUGAAACGUCCUAGAGGUGGCAAAAGCGAUAAAGGUAAGAGGGUGAAGUGUGAGGAGAGUGUAGUUCAAGACAUGACGCGGUCUCUGCGUGAUAUGUAG
RNAcentral lists this ribosomal RNA (357 nucleotides) under Triticum aestivum (bread wheat). RNAcentral describes it as "partial small subunit ribosomal RNA". The record is from RNAcentral. Lineage: Eukaryota; Viridiplantae; Streptophyta; Magnoliopsida; Poales; Poaceae.